This 424-nucleotide long non-coding RNA is filed under the name Brassica napus (rape). RNAcentral's name for it is "long non-coding RNA (BNAP_LNC024253)". Lineage: Eukaryota; Viridiplantae; Streptophyta; Magnoliopsida; Brassicales; Brassicaceae. The record is from RNAcentral.
GGUCAGCUUCGCAAGUGCAGUAGAUGUGGUGUUGGUGGUCAUAAUAGAGCAACUUGCAAGAUGCCAAUAUAGUCGAUUUGUUUGUUGUGUUCUUCACAAUUUAGUGAAAGCUUUUCAGACUUCAAUUGCUUGAUUUCUAGUAACUUUGUUUCCGUUUGUGACAACUUUGUUUCAGUCUUUCAGACUAUAUUUGCUUGAAUUUUAGUAACUUUGUUUCAGUUUGGGAGAACUUUGUUUAAUUUUCAUGAUGUAUUAACUUGGUUAGAAGAUCUGAGUCAAUCGAUCCCUUUAACAAACUGUGAUGUCCGAUCCGUCGGGAUCGAUCAAUCUAUAGACUAACCGGUCGAUCCUGAUCAAUAUGCAGAACAAACAAAAAACACGGACUAUCUUUUGAUCGACCUGGUACAAUUCUCUCGAUCGGCAA